UGUAGAGAACUGGAAUCUCGUUAGCCUCAUAAGCUAAAGGCAGUUGGUUCGAUUCCAACCAUCGCAACCA
Molecule: transfer RNA, 70 nt
Filed under: Caudoviricetes sp.
Lineage: Duplodnaviria; Heunggongvirae; Uroviricota; Caudoviricetes
Description: tRNA-Met
Rfam family: tRNA
About the family: Transfer RNA (tRNA) molecules are approximately 80 nucleotides in length. Their secondary structure includes four short double-helical elements and three loops (D, anti-codon, and T loops).
Source: RNAcentral